AACAGAAAAGCCCACAUCAGUGUGCAUUUGCAAUCACAAAAAUAAACGCCGGCCACAAUGACCUUGUUUUCAACAUAAACAUGAAGAUCGCAAAUGGAUGCAAUGCCACAGAGAUUUUCCCAGGACUUUUUCACAACUGCCUCGUGGCAGUGAAACGAGUUGCCAAGCAUAUUUCCCAAAAAGAGUUGGAAAUGGCUCAUUACUUGUGUUCAGACAGUUCAACUUUACAAGCAGAGCAUCUUUCUAUUUGCCCUGCAAGAUGGAAUAGGCAAAUUCAAAGGAAAAUCUCUGGAAGAAAUAACACCCAACAUCAACUCUGAGCAGGACCUGAGCGACUCAGAUGCAGAGGAAGUCCAAUCUGAGCAGACUGCAACACCAAGUCAAGAAGGAAACUCAGAGGGUGGACAUUCAGAUCACAGGGCUGCUACCUCAAAGAAGAAAACUGGGGUCAUAAAAAACUCAAAUCAAAAGGAGAAACCAAGAAGGCCCUGGUCACAGUCUGAGAGAAAAAUCGUGGAACACCAUUUCAAGGACUUCCUGGAGGAAAUGAAGCUCCCUGGAAAAGUAGACUGUCAAAGAUGCUUAAAUGAAAAUCAGACUCUAAGGGACAAUGGAAGAGACUGGAAAACCAUAAAAUACUUUCUGCACAACAAAAUAGUAUAUAUCAAAAAGAAUGUGUGCCAAGAGCGUUAAGACCAAUAAAACUGUUGGAAAAAAUGUUGUUGUACUGGAUAGUCAGGAUCCUGUAUUGGAGACUGCACUAUUCAGUAGGAAAACACACCUCAACGCAUCACAACGUCGAAGUCAUCCACAAGCGACAGCAGUCAGCGGGAAAGAGGAAGUCGGCAGCUGCCUUCACUCUCCUACCCAUCGGCUCUAUAGCCUAGUUUCUAAUGUAUUAAUAUAGUGUUUUUAAAAAAACAAAGAUACAUUUUUACAUGUAGUAAGCAUUUAGCCUCA
Long non-coding RNA from Sander lucioperca (pikeperch), 960 nucleotides. RefSeq lists it as uncharacterized. The record is from RefSeq and is a predicted model, not a curated record. The transcript has 4 exons. Lineage: Eukaryota; Metazoa; Chordata; Actinopteri; Perciformes; Percidae.